GAUGAACGCUGGCGGCGUGCCUAAUACAUGCAAGUCGAGCGAACAGACGAGGAGCUUGCUCCUCUGACGUUAGCGGCGGACGGGUGAGUAACACGUGGAUAACCUACCUAUAAGACUGGGAUAACUUCGGGAAACCGGAGCUAAUACCGGAUAAUAUAUUGAACCGCAUGGUUCAAUAGUGAAAGACGGUUUUGCUGUCACUUAUAGAUGGAUCCGCGCCGCAUUAGCUAGUUGGUAAGGUAACGGCUUACCAAGGCAACGAUGCGUAGCCGACCUGAGAGGGUGAUCGGCCACACUGGAACUGAGACACGGUCCAGACUCCUAAGGGAGGCAGCAGUAGGGAAUCUUCCGCAAGGGGCGAAAGCCUGACGGAGCAACGCCGCGUGAGUGAUGAAGGUCUUCGGAUCGUAAAACUCUGUUAGUAGGGAAGAACAAAUGUGUAAGUAACUAUGCACGUCUUGACGGUACCUAAUCAGAAAGCCACGGCUAACUACGUG
This 497-nucleotide ribosomal RNA is filed under the name uncultured bacterium. Its description in RNAcentral is "partial 16S ribosomal RNA". It matches the Rfam family "Bacterial small subunit ribosomal RNA", at positions 28 to 507 of the family's 1533-position model. The record is from RNAcentral.